AUUGAACGCUGGCGGCAUGCUUUACACAUGCAAGUCGAACGGUAACAGGUUAAGCUGACGAGUGGCGAACGGGUGAGUAAUGCAUCGGAACGUGCCCGAUCGUGGGGGGCGACACUUCGAAAGAAGUGCUAAUACCGCAUACGAUCUGAGGAUGAAAGCGGGGGACCGUAAGGCCUCGCGCGAUCGGAGCGGCCGAUGUCAGAUUAGGUAGUUGGUGGGGUAAGGGCUCACCAAGCCGACGAUCUGUAGCUGGUCUGAGAGGACGACCAGCCACACUGGGACUGAGACACGGCCCAGACUCCUACGGGAGGCAGCAGUGGGGAAUUUUGGACAAUGGGCGCAAGCCUGAUCCAGCAAUGCCGCGUGCAGGAAGAAGGCCUUCGGGUUGUAAACUGCUUUUGUACGGAGCGAAAAGGCUCCCUCUAAUACAGGGGGCUCAUGACGGUACCGUAAGAAUAAGCACCGGCUAACUACGUGCCAGCAGCCGCCGCGG
This 493-nucleotide ribosomal RNA is filed under the name uncultured bacterium. Its description in RNAcentral is "partial 16S ribosomal RNA". It matches the Rfam family "Bacterial small subunit ribosomal RNA", at positions 29 to 523 of the family's 1533-position model. The record is from RNAcentral.